UUUAUCGACAUCCACGUCUUCGGCGCCCGGGGAAGUGUGUCAACUGCCUUACUACUGCUGUGCACUGUAUGCACUUCCAAAAAAGGUCGGCUGAUCCAGCAGCAGUAUCCUGAAAGAUCAUUGAUUGUAUUUUUAUUUAUUUUUGGAAGUACAUACAUGUAGAAGGGAAGUAAUGAUGAUAGUUGCUAUGUGAAACUACAUAUUUUGCACAUCUAUUUAAUGUCUGACAGGCAGUCAUCCCUACAUAUUUGAUCGGGCUUUCUUCCCCUGCUGUGGAAAAUGUAAACAGGCAGUUUGUGGCACGUUGUUAACACAAAUGAUAUGUGAGCCGAAUUCACACUCCAACCUGUGUCCCUGGGCUGGACACAGGACAGAUUGUUCUCCUGGAUUAUGACAGCUUCACCCAAAACGCCUGAUGUCAUACGAGCUCCGGGACACAGAGCAAACAAAGGCUGGGAUCACUUGGCAGCGUGGGGUGUGCUGAGAGCAGGGUCUGUCUGUUAAACUGAGUUGAGUGGUUACAGACACUGGAGAGCUAAGGUUGCAUAACACCAGUGGCGUACGAGCAAUUCUGAAUUGGAGGGCAUUUUGCUACGGAUGUUGGGUGCAAACCCCCCCCCCAAAAAAAACAAAAAACAAAACAAAAUUGAAGGUUUUAAAUGCUAAUUUCUAGUGACUUUUGAGAAAAGGAUACAGACAAUUAUUAACUUACAUAUGGGCAAAUUUACAAGGCUAAGGGGGCCUUGCAGAGGGUCACUUUCUCUGGUACAGUCCAAUCAGUCUUAGGGCCAUGGCCAUUCAUACUGUACUGAAUACCAGUGUGACUGUUAAUGUGGAGAUAUUCAAUUAAACAACCAUUUUGUUCUCUUUCUCCGCUACUGUAUGAUUCAUUCCUAGUAUUUUCUCACUUACCCUAUGUCAGGUUGUUAUUACUGCUGCUCUACAUACUGUAUGGUUUAAACUUAACAUAAUAAUUACAACUAAUAAAACUGUAAUAAUAACCAGCAACAUACUGUCACACAAUGACCAUAGUUUGCUUUGUAUGUUUAUAUGUUUGGUUUGGUCAGGGUGUGAUCUGAGUGGGCAUUCUAUGUUGUGUGUCUAGUUUGUCUGUUUCUGUGUUUGGCCUGAUAUGGUUCUCAAUCAGAGGCAGGUGUUAGUCAUUGUCUCUGAUUGGGAACCAUAUUUAGGUAGCCUGUUUGGUGUUGGGUUUUGGUAGGUGAUUGUUCCUGUCCUUUUGUCCUUAUGUCUGUCGUGUGCUAGUUUACACCAGUAUUAGGCUGUUUCGGUUUUCGUGUAUUGUUUUUUCAUAUUGAUUCGUGUUUACUUCAGUUUUAUUAAACAUGGAUUGUAAUAGA
This is a long non-coding RNA of Oncorhynchus masou masou (cherry salmon), 1358 nucleotides long. RefSeq lists it as uncharacterized. Lineage: Eukaryota; Metazoa; Chordata; Actinopteri; Salmoniformes; Salmonidae. The transcript is spliced from 3 exons. The record is from RefSeq and is a predicted model, not a curated record.